AAUUCAUCAGUGAAGAGGCUGUUUCUUGGCUAUAGUCGCAUGGAAUGAGACUUAAGAAAGGAAAGAAAAGGACAGUUGCGAUGGCCAAGAUCUCCUUGCCAUCGCCCAAGAUGCAGACGUACCAAGGCACUACAUCCCUAUUAUAAAAGAGCGUCUAAAGUUCAAGAAAUUGAUUGCAAUGAACGCUGAACCUAGAGAUGACACGAGUUCUUCGUCGCGUGCAGAAUCAAGUCCUUCGAUUAAGACGGUUCAAACGUCGAUUGAUGAUUCAGAUAACAUCAGCGAUUGUGAAAAUUUAGAGGUGACAUUGGCACCGAAAGAAAAGGGUAAAUCGCCCAAGGAUCUCUGUUUUACGGACGAGGCGACAGAACUGAGUACUGUCUAAGUUCCUCCUGGAUGGCUUUCAAAAUUCCAACUACCAUCGAGGUUCUCUGCCUCAGUAGAGUUGGAUAUCCAGAAGGGAUAUCUCAUCAGCAGCCUAAAGUACUCUGAGCAGCAGUGGAUUGCAAAAAAAAAUUAUUGCAGAGUAUCCUUGUAUGGCAAGCAGGAUACUAGACUAAGUUGACUUGGAAACUGAAUUGAUUGGUUUGGUUUAAAAAUCUAUUGCUUCACCUCUUCUGCUUGCAGUGAAGAGAGACAAUUUUGUGGUGGUGAAUUUCCAUUUCUGGUGUUUUAGUUUAUGGUUUUUAGAAAAACAUUAUAUAUAUGUGACCCUCCAUGGGAAAACGGACACUAACGCUUUUCCGUUAAACGGUCUCGAAAAACGGAUGUAAACGGAUAAUAAACGGCUAACUCGAGCGUUUAAAGGGAUGCCAUAACCGCAAAAAAUUUAAACGGUUGACCAAAGUCCAAAAACGGAUAGCUUAGGCCUUCAAACGGUUGACCAAAAAUAAAAACGGAUAGCACGAAACGUUAAACGGUUGACCAAAGUUCAAAAACGGAUAGCUCACACUGUUAAACGGUUGACCAAAAAUAAAAACGGUCAGCCCGAAACGUUAAACAGUUGACCAAAGUCCAAAAACGGAUAGCUUAAACCGAGAAACGGUUGACCAAAAUCGACAAACGAUGAGCUAAAAAUUGAUGUUUAACGGCUGUGAUUGAGCCGGCGAGAUCUUCUGCGGAAAAACUUUCGGAGUGACAACGGAUAAUUAUCCUUCAAAGCGAAAACAUUGAGCAUGAUAAUUUGAAAAAUAAUAGCUAGCAUAUACUUGCGCAUUUUAUUUCUGGGUUAAGUACUGCCGCUUUCGUGUGACAUUCAUGAAAUAAGCGCAAUUUACUGAGAAUAGUUUCGCUGCCGAAUAUCCUGAACGGCUACUGCGAGAAACUCAUAAUCUUCUCCUUUGUUUAUUCUUAUUAUUAUUGAAAAUGAACUUCAUUUUUUCCUGUUCGGAAGUUUCGCGAAACAAAUAUGCAUAUGCAAUGCCACCGCCUUGUCUAAAGCCGAAACGUUUCAAGGUCAAAUAACGCAAUGAAGUUCCAUUGCAAAUAAAAGGUCGAAUCGGUGUCACGCACCGAGCGGGGCCGUUAAAAUGAUUGUCAAUAAAACCAAGAAAGAUGAAUCAAGAUGAUAUAAACAGAAAGAGAGUAGCCGAUUUAGCAGUCCAUCAAUUAGGAACAAUUUAAAACUAUGAGACGGGAACCAAGAGAGGGUUACCUCGAUUUCACUAAAUCUGUAAUCAAGAUCAGGCGCACUGUUCUGAUCGAUCAAAGUCGAUGGCAGGGUCAUGGUCAAAUGAAUGGCUUCAUUGCAAUUGGCUCUCGAUGCUCUUGGUUUUUACAAACGGAUAUUUCAACUUAAUUUGUUUGUCAAAGGAUGCGACGGAAACUCGCUUACUAUGAUCACGCAAAAGAUAAAACCAAAAUAAGAUACGGUCUUUCUGUAUUUCAAGAACCGGCGAGUAUCGAGCGAACGUAAGAUUGAUACUUCGAACUACCCGUAUCAGAAUGA
Molecule: long non-coding RNA, 1948 nt
Organism: Pocillopora verrucosa
Lineage: Eukaryota; Metazoa; Cnidaria; Anthozoa; Scleractinia; Pocilloporidae
Source: RefSeq, a predicted model, not a curated record